GUUAGACGAACGGUCUGGAAAGUCCGACGAUACAGGGUGAUAGUCCCGUAGUUGACGACGUGUGUUCAGUGAAAUCGAGUAGGGCGGGACACGUGAUAUCCUGUCUGAAUAUGGGGGGACCAUCCUCCAAGGCUAAAUACUACUGACUGACCGAUAGUGAACCAGUACCGUGAGGGAAAGGCGAAAAGAACCCCUGUGAGGGGAGUGAAAUAGAACCUGAAACCGUGUACGUACAAGCAGUAGGAGCAGGCUUUGUCCUGUGACUGCGUACCUUUUGUAUAAUGGGUCAGCGACUUAUAUUCAGUGGCAAGGUUAACCAUCUAGGGGAGCCGUAGGGAAACCGAGUCUUAACUGGGCGUUCAGUCUCUGGAUAUAGACCCGAAACCAGGUGAUCUAGCCAUGGGCAGGUUGAAGGUUGAGUAACAUCAACUGGAGGACCGAACCGACUAAUGUUGAAAAAUUAGCGGAUGACUUGUGGCUAGGGGUGAAAGGCCAAUCAAACCUGGAGAUAGCUGGUUCUCCCCGAAAGCUAUUUAGGUAGCGCCUCGGACGAAUACUACUGGGGGUAGAGCACUGUUAAGGCUAGGGGGUCAUCCCGACUUACCAACCCUUUGCAAACUCCGAAUACCAGUAAGUACUAUCCGGGAGACACACGGCGGGUGCUAACGUCCGUCGUGGAGAGGGAAACAACCCAGACCGCCAGCUAAGGUCCCAAAUUACUACUAAGUGGGAAACGAUGUGGGAAGGCUCAGACAGCCAGGAUGUUGGCUUAGAAGCAGCCAUCAUUUAAAGAAAGCGUAAUAGCUCACUGGUCGAGUCGGCCUGCGCGGAAGAUGUAACGGGGCUAAGUAGUAAACCGAAGCUGCGGCAAUACUCUUUGAGUAUUGGGUAGGGGAGCGUUCUGUAAGCGGUUGAAGGUGUGUGGUAACGCAUGCUGGACGUAUCAGAAGUGCGAAUGCUGACAUGAGUAACGAUAAAGGGGGUGAAAAACCUCCUCGCCGGAAGACCAAGGGUUCCUGUCCAACGUUAAUCGGGGCAGGGUAAGUCGACCCCUAAGGCGAGGCCGAAAGGCGUAGUCGAUGGGAAACGGGUUAAUAUUCCCGUACUUCUUACAAUUGCGAUGGGGGGACGGAGAAGGCUAGGUGGGCCUGGCGACGGUUGUC
RNAcentral lists this ribosomal RNA (1163 nucleotides) under Vibrio parahaemolyticus. RNAcentral describes it as "partial 23S ribosomal RNA". It matches the Rfam family "Bacterial large subunit ribosomal RNA", at positions 328 to 1506 of the family's 2925-position model. Lineage: Bacteria; Pseudomonadati; Pseudomonadota; Gammaproteobacteria; Vibrionales; Vibrionaceae. RNAcentral also lists the same sequence under 1 other name. The record is from RNAcentral.